GACAGAGGGGGCAAGCGUUGCUCGGAAUCACUGGGCGUAAAGGGCGCGUAGGCGGGAUGGCAAGUCGGUCGUGAAAUCCUUCGGCUCAACCGAAGAACGUCGGCCGAUACUGCCGUUCUUGAGGGAUGCAGAGGAGAUUGGAAUUCCCGGUGUAGCGGUGAAAUGUGUAGAGAUCGGGAGGAACACCGGUGGCGAAGGCGGGUCUCUGGGCAUCUCCUGACGCUGAGGCGCGAAAGCGUGGGAGCAACGGG
RNAcentral lists this ribosomal RNA (251 nucleotides) under uncultured bacterium. RNAcentral's name for it is "partial 16S ribosomal RNA". It matches the Rfam family "Bacterial small subunit ribosomal RNA", at positions 524 to 776 of the family's 1533-position model. The record is from RNAcentral.